Non-coding RNA from Lolium perenne, 2117 nucleotides. The record is from RefSeq and is a predicted model, not a curated record. Lineage: Eukaryota; Viridiplantae; Streptophyta; Magnoliopsida; Poales; Poaceae.
CUUCUUCAGAAACGAGUCACGCGUGUGGCGUGACCCCUCCCAUCGCUGUCAUCCUCCACCACCAAGCUCCACAACAGCACCACGCCUCCUUCUUCUUUCCCCUCCCUUAAAUCCAUCUGAGGUCCCCAAGCAAACCCUAGCCUCCUCUAUCUUCCCCUCCUCGCGCCGCCGCUGAACUUUCACCUCUCCCAGGAAACAAUCUCAGUUGAAAUUUCAGUUAAGCAGCGCCGGAGAAAUCGCCACAGCGUCGCUGGUUUCCGUCACCGUUCGCCGAGCUGAGCACCAGGAUGGAGUCCCCGUGGCCUCCUUUUCCUCCUCGUUGAGUCCUCGGAGCAGGAGCAGCUCCGGGAUGCCGUUUUUGUCUUCGUCUUCUCCGGUGCCGUACGUGCGCACCAUCGACGUCCGCUUCACCACGCCGUCGCUUCAGACCCCUUUGUGCUCUCCCGCUUCGCCAUCGACCUCCUGGUGGUCACCGCCGUGCUCAUCUGUUUUCCCCGGCGUCGUUUCAAGUCCCUGAGCCGUUCUUCUUCACCAUCGAGCCCCUGGCAUUUGCUUCUUCCUGGAUAGGACCACGAAGUGAUGAUGUCAGAUACGACGAGUUCUCCGACAAGUUCUUUUGCAGCUUUUCACAGGCGAGCCCACCUCCUUCACCUAUUUUACAGUUUCUUGCUCGUUGUUCUCUUGCUACCUCUAUGUUGCGAUUCUCGAGUCACAUGUCCUAUUCCACUGUUAACCAUAUGAGCCGUGUUAAAUAUCCGUCACCUAUCACCAUUGUUUGUUGAUUGAGCCUUUGCGAGUCGUAGCGCAUAUUUAGGAAUCUAUUGUUAUCUCUAUAUCUGUUGGGUUGUUGGGAGGUUCUCACAUGUUAUAUCAGUUAUCGGAGAUAAUCACACUUUACUUAAUUGUUAACAACUAAAAUUGUAAGCAGUGGCAUCUCUAAGCCCAUUUGCGAAAGCAUCGGAUCUUUGUCUCGCUAAUGUCCCCUAGGACCUGAGUUCUUGUUAUCUGUUCCGAAAUUGAGCGCUCUACCCGUACGUGGGGGAGUGGAACCUCCAUCACCCACUACCUUUCCUCGAGUCUGUUUAUUGGGAGCCACAACCUUGGUUUUAUUUGCUCAUAUGCAUGAUAUGCACGAUUUACUUCCUGUUGCCUUCGGGUGUUUAUAUUCUGUACUGUACUCCUAUCGCGGAUAGACUUAUCCUGUGCCUGGUCGUUAGUGCCCGUCUGGACUAUGUCGCAAACCUCUAGGUCCGUAUUGGAGUACGGCCGAACUUCGUCACGGGUAGCUUAGUUGGGUGGCUUCCAUUAAACUUUCUCUUGCAUUGGGAACGGUCUUGUUGUGAGACUCCACAUGUAGUAAGUGGAUUCAAGCAUACGUAUGGAUACAUUUGGGCAACCCCUGCAGGGUGUAGAUCUUAUCGAUAAGCCGUGUCCGCGGUUAUGGACAACUUGGAAUUGUAUGGCUUGAUCAUAGAACAACUUACACCUUUAUGUUGUUGCUAAUAACUUGCUAAUAAUUUGCGUAGUAACAUAGCAUUACUACAACCAAUAUCUAAUAAAACUUGUCCACCGUUGAGUGUCUUUUACAUUCCCUCUUCGCUUUGUUGAAGGGGAUAUGUGUAAUCGGCUGGGUUAUGUUUGUCUAGUAUUUAGCUGUUAGCUUGUGCGCUCUCUCAUCUUCUCUGAUUAGAUGAAAGUUGUAGCGUGUUUCUAUAAGUUAGUCAAGCUUUGCUGCCGCUAAACUCCACAUAUAGCCGGGCGAUGUUUAUGCCCGCCCACCAGCGAGCACAGCUGGUCUUGUCUCGCAAGUACGUGCCACUGGUACUUACCCUCGCCUUUCUUUCUCUUUUGUCUUUCACCCCCUUUUGUCGGCAACCGAUGGCCCGACUUUUGCAGGUUUGAGAUGACGACAUUAGCAAGGUUACCCUCCAGCUUGUCCUGGGCAGGGUUAUGGACGCCACUGGUUAUCGGUUAUCUUCAGGACUCUUAGUCCAAUUUGUAUCUUGUCCGUACUCGGACGUAUUUGAUCUUCUGUAUGAUUUGGAUCUUUGUAUUGUAUAUUUGUAUUCUUGACUCGUUGGAGUUGUUGUUGUAAUAUAUCUGUUUCUUAUGGGCUC